Molecule: transfer RNA, 85 nt
Filed under: Candidatus Atelocyanobacterium thalassae
Lineage: Bacteria; Bacillati; Cyanobacteriota; Cyanophyceae; Chroococcales; Aphanothecaceae
Also listed under: 1 other name
Description: tRNA-Ser
Rfam family: tRNA
About the family: Transfer RNA (tRNA) molecules are approximately 80 nucleotides in length. Their secondary structure includes four short double-helical elements and three loops (D, anti-codon, and T loops).
Source: RNAcentral
GGAGAGGUGGCAGAGUGGUUGAAUGCGGUAGUCUCGAAAACUAUUUUGUUGAAAGGCAACGAGGGUUCGAAUCCCUCUCUCUCCG